GAUGAAGAACGUAGCGAAAUGCGAUACGUAAUGUGAAUUGCAGAAUUCAGUGAAUCAUCGAGUCUUUGAACGCACAUUGCGCCCUCUGGUAUUCCGGAGGGCAUGCCUGUCCGAGCGUCAUUGCUGCCCUCAAGCACGGCUUGUGUGUUGGGCCCCGUCCUCCUUCCGGGGGACGGGUCCGAAAGGCAGCGGCGGCACCGCGUCCGGUCCUCAAGCGUAUGGGGCUUUGUCACUCGCUUUGUAGGCCUGGCCGGCGCUUGCCGAUCAACCAAACUUUUUAUCAGGUUGACCUCGGAUCAGGUAGGACUACCCGCUGAACUUAAGCAUAUCAAUAAGCGGAGGA
Molecule: unclassified non-coding RNA, 343 nt
Filed under: soil metagenome
Description: partial contains 5.8S ribosomal RNA, internal transcribed spacer 2, and large subunit ribosomal RNA
Rfam family: 5.8S ribosomal RNA (bases 1-120)
Source: RNAcentral